Molecule: ribosomal RNA, 406 nt
Filed under: uncultured bacterium
Lineage: Bacteria
Description: partial 16S ribosomal RNA
Rfam family: Bacterial small subunit ribosomal RNA
Source: RNAcentral
AUUGAACGCUGGCGGCAGGCCUAACACAUGCAAGUCGAACGAGCGGCGGACGGGUGAGUAAUGUCUGGGAAACUGCCUGAUGGAGGGGGAUAACUACUGGAAACGGUAGCUAAUACCGCAUACCAUCAGAUGUGCCCAGAUGGGAUUAGCUGGUAGGUGGGGUAACGUCUCACCUAGGCGACGAUCCCUAGCUGGUCUGAGAGGAUGACCAGCCCCACGGGAACUGAGCCACGGUCCAGACUCCUACGUGACGCAGCAGUGGGGAAUAUUGCACUAUGGGCGCAAGCCUGAUGCAGCCAUGCCGCGUGUAUGAAGAAGGCCUUCGGGUUGUAAAGUACUUUCAGCGGGGAGGCGUUACCCGCAGAAGAAGCACCGGCUAACUCCGUGCCAGCAGCCGCGGUAAUUC